UGAAUGCCCUUUAUAAUCCUGAGCAACGAUUAUAACCCCAUUGCUACAGCUUCGCUUAAGGGCAAUAUUAUAUGUUUUAUUAUCCUAGCACCCAAAUGUCUAUAUCCUAUUUGCGGUACUCGAGAAACGUAGAACAACAUUU
Eupeodes corollae is the source of this 142-nucleotide small nucleolar RNA. RefSeq annotates it as small nucleolar RNA psi28S-1192. Lineage: Eukaryota; Metazoa; Arthropoda; Insecta; Diptera; Syrphidae. The record is from RefSeq and is a predicted model, not a curated record. The transcript has a single exon.